UGGAAAAUUCAAGAUCAGAGUUUGGCUAUUUGGUGAAGGCUGCUCUCUGCUACCAAGAUGGCACCUUGUUGUUCUGUCCUCUGGCAGGAAGAAUCCUGGGUCCUCAUUUAGCAGGAAGCAGAAGGUCAGGUGAAAGGGUGCUUAAUGCAGUGGAUUGUGACAGACGUUUUAUCAGCACAUGGACAACUUGGGGCCAUGGAGAUAUAUCACUGAAAUGUUUUUCAAAAGAGGGUGAAACCUAGCUGACCAUGACAUCAGGAGAGGGAGAGGAACUCCUGCGGAGAGGCAGUGAUUGCACCGUCCAACGUUUACCUGACUCACCGCACGUGAUAUUUUUGGACUGCCAUGCCCUCGUAUGCUGCCUUAAUCACCCAUUGUAUUGAUGCUGCAUGGAUGUCAAUUUUACACCUUAUUUCUGUGCUACCUGUUGUCAGAAAUCUGUUUAGAUGCUGCCCCAGCAGCCUUUGUAGAUCUGGCAUAAAUUAAUUGGAACCUAGGCAUACCCAGUCAAUCUCCUUUGACCUGAGAAAAACUCUACGUCACUAUGUAGUAAAGAGAUUCAUCCCUUGUUUCUCUCACUAGAAACUAAUAGACCUCACAACUUGAGCCGAAUAAACACU
This is a long non-coding RNA of Chinchilla lanigera (long-tailed chinchilla), 620 nucleotides long. RefSeq lists it as uncharacterized. The transcript has 3 exons. The record is from RefSeq and is a predicted model, not a curated record. NCBI's taxonomy places the organism in Eukaryota, Metazoa, Chordata, Mammalia, Rodentia, Chinchillidae.